Long non-coding RNA from Sapajus apella (tufted capuchin), 1627 nucleotides. RefSeq lists it as uncharacterized. The record is from RefSeq and is a predicted model, not a curated record. The transcript is spliced from 3 exons. NCBI's taxonomy places the organism in Eukaryota, Metazoa, Chordata, Mammalia, Primates, Cebidae.
UAUUGUUUUAUGGGUAUAGAGUUUCAGUUUUGCAAGAUGAAAAACUUCCAGAAAUGGAUGGUGGCGAUGGUGCACAACAAUGUGAAUGCACUUAAUGCCACUGACUUGUACAUUUAAAAAUAGGUUAAAAUGUCUGUUUUAUGUUAGGUACCUUUUACUACAUUUAAAAACAAAGACCAUGGGCAAGCCAUUUCCUUGCUCUGUGCCUCAGUGACAUUAUCUGUGAAAUAAAUGUGUAGAAAUAGAUGGACUCCCAAGGAUGCAUUCAACACUGCAAGUCUGUAUGUCUAAACAUCCCUUCUGUCCUCACAGGGUUUAGCAUCAAGUGGGAGAGAUGAAAUGCAGGAAUAAAAUUUAAAAUACUUCUAGUUAAUGUUUUAAGUACCCAAUUAGUGAUUUUUCAAAAAGAAAUAUGUAUUCUUGACAAGGGAUAGAGCAGAAAUCUGGAGGACUGCUUUGUGGAGGUAGAACUGGAUAAUGCCCACUUAAAGAUGUAUCUAGCUUGGAUGUGGGUCUGUGCCAUUGGGAUGGCCUUAGCAGAGGUGAGCAGGCUUCACCACACCAGGGGUGCAUGGAACAGCAAGAAGAUGAAUCUGUUGAUGGUAAAGGCUUCUGUGUCAGAGUGAAACAUUGAGGAGGACCCAUGGGAGACCUGGAGGGACUCUGAAUAGAAGAGAGUGAUUGGACAAGAGACCUGGUCCAUCCACAAACUGGCUCUGUGGCCUUGGCUAAUCACUAGGAUCUCAGUUCCUGCUGUAUGACACCAAGCCUAGCUCCCUUGCAAGAUGGAAGCACAGCCUAGCUGAUCUUGUUCUUCCUGCUAGAAAACUCUGUGAUUCUCUUUGCCUUCCAGGCAGCAGACACGUGGGAUUCCUGCUGCCUGGCCAGUGCUGGAUGCUGGACUCCAGCAGUGACAGGCCCCGAACCUGUCCUUGUGAAGGCCACUUUUUUAGUGGCGGUGGCUCAUCUAGCAGGCUGAGGAAUGUGCAAAGGACGUGUAAGAAAAUCUACUUAGCAACAGGGUAUAUAAUGAGUUAAAGAACUGAGCUUCUAAUGGCAAUGAGACCAGCCAGGGGAGUGCUGUAAAAGUUUAGAUGUAGAUUAAGACUCAGAAGGGCUGAACUUGGUUAGGAGACAAGAAAAUAAAAUGGAAAGUCUAAUGCACGAACCCUAGAACCACAUGAAUAUCAAAGCUCACACUGUCGUACUGUGUGCCUCCUUUUCCCUUGCCCUGCCCUUUUUCAAUCUCCCAAAGCUGCACCCUUUCCUCUUGUGCCUUCGGUAUUUCCUAUGCCACAUGAUAUGGUUUGGCUCUGUGUCUCCACCCAGAUCUCAUCUCGAACUGUAAUCCCCAUGGGAGGUGGUCAGAUCAUGAUGGUGGCUUCCCCCACGCUGUUCUCAGGAUAGCGAGUGAGUUCUCACAAGAUCUGAUGGUUUUAUUAGAGGCUCUUCCCCCUUAGCUUUCACUUCUUUCAUCUGCCACCAUGUAAGACGUGCCUACUUCCCCUUUCCCAUGAUUGUAAGUUUCAUGAGACCUCUGCAGCCAUGUGGACCUGUGAAUCAAUUAAACCUCUUUCCUUUAUAAAUUACCCAGUCUCAGGUAUUUCUUUAUAGCAUAAGAACAGGC